Molecule: long non-coding RNA, 375 nt
Organism: Dermochelys coriacea (leatherback sea turtle)
Lineage: Eukaryota; Metazoa; Chordata; Testudines; Dermochelyidae
Exons: 3
Source: RefSeq, a predicted model, not a curated record
GUCAUUACAGGUACAAACGCUGUGUAGCCCACAGGGGUUGUAGCGAUUGAGCUUGUGCACGUGGAGCCAAGGCAAGCGGCCACCUAGAAAGCUGCCCAGCUGUAAGCAGGUCACUGUCCACUCCCGCCCGGGAUGCUCUCUGUGCUGCAGGCCUGGUCUACGCAGGGCUGGCAAAAGGAAGGACAGUUAUCCUCAGGUGGCAGCUGCUGCAGCGCGGGCUUUGUUAGCAGGCUCAGCUCGGUGAGUAGCUGAAGGACGUGCGGCUGGCAGCGACGUGUCAAAGCUGCACGCACCUGUGACUAAGCCGUGGGGGUUGUGGCGAGCACAAUGUCCAGUGGAACAGCUGCAGGUUUGGGCCCACCGAGAACACCCUGG